GAUGAAGAACGUAGCGAAAUGCGAUAAGUAGUGUGAAUUGCAGAAUUCCGUGAAUCAUCGAAUCUUUGAACGCACAUUGCGCCUUCUGGUAUUCCGGAAGGCAUGCCUGUUCGAGAGUCAUUAACAACCGUUUCGAUUCCUUUCUUUCAGAAAUUACAAAGAGGAAAAGGGUUUGGUUAUGGUGGAGGAGGGAAAGGGAGCGUUUAGCCUGUAAAAAAAGAGGCUGUGUUCCGCCUCCCCCCCAAAAUUGUACAGGCGGUCGUGUGCGCCCACGCAUCGAGGUGUUGUAAAAGCUGCCACGGCACUUUUCACCUGUGCAGUGCGAGAUUGGCCAGCCGGUUUAAAAACCCCUCCAAACAAUCAAAGGUUGACCUCGGAUUAGGUAGGGAUACCCGCUGAACUUAAGCAUAUCAAUAAGCGGAGGA
This 425-nucleotide unclassified non-coding RNA is filed under the name soil metagenome. Its description in RNAcentral is "partial contains 5.8S ribosomal RNA, internal transcribed spacer 2, and large subunit ribosomal RNA". The stretch from base 1 to 120 matches the Rfam family "5.8S ribosomal RNA", at positions 35 to 154 of the family's 154-position model. The record is from RNAcentral.